CGAGCGGGCAUAGCAAUAUGUCAGCGGCAGACGGGUGAGUAACGCGUGGGAACGUACCUUUUGGUUCGGAACAACACAGGGAAACUUGUGCUAAUACCGGAUAAGCCCUUACGGGGAAAGAUUUAUCGCCGAAAGAUCGGCCCGCGUCUGAUUAGCUAGUUGGUGAGGUAAUGGCUCACCAAGGCGACGAUCAGUAGCUGGUCUGAGAGGAUGAUCAGCCACAUUGGGACUGAGACACGGCCCAAACUCC
This 250-nucleotide ribosomal RNA is filed under the name uncultured bacterium. RNAcentral describes it as "partial 16S ribosomal RNA". It matches the Rfam family "Bacterial small subunit ribosomal RNA", at positions 63 to 339 of the family's 1533-position model. The record is from RNAcentral.